Triticum aestivum (bread wheat) is the source of this 125-nucleotide non-coding RNA. The record is from Rfam. NCBI's taxonomy places the organism in Eukaryota, Viridiplantae, Streptophyta, Magnoliopsida, Poales, Poaceae.
GAUGUAUUCCCUCCGUCCAAAAGUAUUUGUUGGAGGAAUGGAUGUAUCUAGAUGUAUUUUAGUUCUAGAUAUAUCCAUUUUUAUGCAUUUCUGUGACAAGUAUUUUCGGACGGAGAGAGUAUUAG